ACCACGGAGUGAUUCAUGACUGGGGUGAAGUCGUAACAAGGUAGCCCUAGGGGAACCUGGGGCUGGAUCACCUCCUUAACGA
Molecule: ribosomal RNA, 82 nt
Filed under: Pseudoalteromonas phenolica
Lineage: Bacteria; Pseudomonadati; Pseudomonadota; Gammaproteobacteria; Alteromonadales; Pseudoalteromonadaceae
Description: partial 16S ribosomal RNA
Rfam family: Bacterial small subunit ribosomal RNA
Source: RNAcentral